RNAcentral lists this ribosomal RNA (239 nucleotides) under uncultured bacterium. RNAcentral's name for it is "partial 16S ribosomal RNA". It matches the Rfam family "Bacterial small subunit ribosomal RNA", at positions 43 to 271 of the family's 1533-position model. The record is from RNAcentral.
CCGCCAAAAAAAAUUCGAUUCAGGCCUAACACAUGCAAGACAAACGAUUCUCUUCGGAGAAGAGCGGCGGACGGGUGAGUAACGCGUGGGUAACCUGCCCUGUACACACGGAUAACAUACCGAAAGGUAUGCUAAUACGAGAUAAUAUGCUUUUAUCGCAUGGUAGAAGUAUCAAAGCUCCGGCGGUACAGGAUGGACCCGCGUCUGAUUAGCUAGUUGGUGAGGUAACGGCUCACCAA